Zootermopsis nevadensis is the source of this 667-nucleotide non-coding RNA. NCBI's taxonomy places the organism in Eukaryota, Metazoa, Arthropoda, Insecta, Blattodea, Termopsidae. The record is from RefSeq and is a predicted model, not a curated record.
UUGUGUUGGUGUGAAACUUGGAAAUAAGACUGAAAAUAAAAUGUUCAGGUGUGGGCCUGAUAGCACAGAUUAAUUUCACUGAUAAAACAGAUCAAAAGACAUGAUGAUAUCAAUAUGCAGGGUCACAUGUGUUAUAACAUGGAGAGGCUUCAGGGAGAGAGACGCCCCUUCUGCCUUCAGCCAGCCAAAAUUUAAUUGUAUGUAUUAAUUUUGCACUUUUUAAUUGCUAGUUCAUAUCUGUUGAUUUUUUAAUGACAAAGUUUAGUAUGUUUUCGCCUUCUUGUUAUAAGUACAUUAUGUACCUAAUAUGGUAAUAUUAAUUAUGCACCUUUGCAUUGCCAAGUAGUUGUAACUUCUAAAGAAGUAAAAAAUGGUAUUGCAAUUUAAAUAAUUCAUAACAUAUAUAAAUGCUUGUAGCUUUUAAGCUAUAUAAAGCUAUCAACUCCAUAUGUAUGAACAGAUUCUAUAUGCAUUUUUUAAGUUUCCAAGAUUGUGGCUGACCUACGCUCACAGUUCUCAUCAAAAGAAUUCAUUUGUUUUAAUUUUAGCAUGUCACAAAAAUCUUUUGUCCGUCUUUAACAUUUUCGGAAUGAUUGUAUACAAAUGUUUACAAGAAUUGUACUACCGAUAAAAUUACAACAAAAUGUAUGGCAGCGGUGGGAUUCGA